CUGUUUCUGCUUGGAUCUCCUUCAGUUUUGUGUCACUAACUGGUAAGUUGCUGUACACAGUGUGCACUUGCAUGUCCAUGCCUUCACUGAGGCUGCUGUCCUUAUAGGUAAGAAACUUCCUGGAGAGUGUGUCUGCGACAGGGAUGUCUUUGCCUGGACGGUGAGUGAUUGUGAAGUCGUAUUUUUGUAGUUGAAGGAUCAUUCUCUGUAGCCUUGGCUACACUAGCUGCGGCUAGUGGUUUCCUCAUGAUUGACUCAAGGGGCUUGUGGUCGGAUUCCACAAUGACUUGUCGUCCAUAUAUGUACUGAUGGAAACGUUUACAUCCGAACAGAAUGGCGUAGAGCUCCUUUUCAAUUUGAGCGUAGUUGAUUUCACAGUCUGUGAGAGAUUUGGAAGCGUAGCCGAUGGGCUUUCCUUCUUGCAGUAGCACUGCACCUAGUCCAUACUUCGACGCGUCCACUCUUCGGGGUCGUAGUAGGCAAGGAUUGGUCCUGGUUCUCUCGUGAUCAAGUCUUUCACAUUCUGGAAAGCAAUGUCGUGUUGCUUGUCCCAGAGAAACUCACUGGACUGCUUUAGCAGUUGACGCAGGGGUGCAUUAGCAUUGGAGAGGCUGGGUGCGAACUUGGCUAAGUAGUUGACCAUGCCAAGCACUGUUUCCAGCUCUGCACGGUUCUUUGGUGGCUCCAUUUAUUUUUUGGCUAAGAUCUUCUGUGGAUCUGGCUUGAUUCCAGUCGCUGUAAGAAGAUGUCCGAAGUAGCUGACCUCUGUAGCGCCGACUGUGCUCUUCUCGGGGUUGAGCCGGACUCCUCUCUCGCGGGACCUUUGCAGCAUCGCGCGGAGGUUUCGGUCGUGCUCCUCUUUGGUUCGACCAUCGACAAGGAUGUCGUCCACAAUUGCCACAACUCCGUCGAGGCCUUCGUACACUUCGUCGAUCUUUCGCUGAAACUCGUCUUGGGCUGAGAUAAUCCCAAAAGGCAGGCGACGGAACCUGUAGCAUCCAAACGGUGUGUUGAAUGUUGUGAGCUUAGAUGACUCUUCUGUGAGCUUGAUAGCCUAGUAGCCUGAUCUAGCGUCCAUGACACUGAAGUAGUGUGCUCCCGCUAGCUUGUGUGUGAUGCCAUCUAGCGUCGGUAACGGUAAAGGAUAAUGGGGGCGUUUGAUAGCCUUGCUCAAGUCUCUUGGGUCGAGACAUACUCUGAGCUUGCCUGUGCGUGGUUUCUCCACCACCACUAAGGCGUUUACCCAGUCAGUCGGUUCUGUAACCUUGGUGACUAUGUCAGAUUGCUCCAUGCUCUCCAACUCUUUCUUCAGACAGGCACGGAGAGCAAGCGGAAUCUUUCUCGGUGGGUAGACCACAGGGGUUGCGUCUGGGUCAAGGUGAAUGGUACAUUCUCCUGGGAAUAAUCCUAUUCCUGUAAAAACAUCAGCAAACUCCUCCAGUACAUUGUCUGUCUCUACUGGUGCUGUCACUGAUAAAACUAGCUUGAUGAAAUCCAUGUCUAAACAUGCUUUAAGACCUAGCACUGCAGGUGCUCUAGUGUCAACAACAUAAAAGUCCAACAUCAUGUCACUUUCCUUGUAUUUGCAUUUGAAGGUGCAUGUGCCUUUUACUGGGAGCUGUUCACCACCAUAACCAGUCAGUCUGCGGGUGGUGGGCUGUAGCUCGCACUCAGAUGUCAAGCUGGGUACUUAUUCAGAGGAAUAAUGUUUACUUGUGCACCAGUGUCUAGUUUGAACUUUAGCUUUGUGCCUUGUGUUCCUAUCUCAAUGUCAGCAAAGGCUUGCUCUGUCUCUGAUAUUUGACUUUUCUGUGUCACUGAAUCAAUAAACAGUUCAUCAGCGUUUGACUCUUUGAUUGACAUUUCAUCUUCACUCACUGUGUGUACCGUUUUUCCACGGUAAGCUCUGCACACUUUUGCAAAGUGAUUCCAUUUUCCACAUUUAGUACACUGUUUGCCUUUAGAUGGGCAAUUUCCUUGUUCGCCAUGCACUUUGUAUCCACAAUAUCCACAUGUUUUGAGUCUGUGUCGCUCUGUUUUGGAGUUAUGUCUCUCUCCGUUCUAAAACGCGCUCUCUGCGCACCGGAGGUGUGCUUUGAUGUCUGCCUGACUGCGUGCACUGCUUGUUCACGUGAUGCGCUCGUGCUGACGCGCGAAAUGGUUUUCAUCUGAGCCUGUGCUAGCUCGUGAGAUCUGGCUAUGUCGAUAGCUUUGUCCAGCGUUACCUCAGACCCAACAUUCAAAAGUUUCUCUCUCACUCGCGGUGAGUGUAUUUCAAAUACAAUACGGUCCCUGGCCAUCUCAUCCUUGUUUGCAUAAUCACAGUCUUUCACAAGCAGACGCAGCUCAGUCACAAACUGUUCAAAAGACUCGCUAGCUCCCUGUACUUUCUCAUGGAAUUUGUACCUAGCGAAUAUCGUAUUGGUCUUCGGCACAACAUAUGCUUCAAAACGAUCGUAGUAUCGUAUGAUUCAGCCUCGGUAAGUGUCCAUGUGUUGUAAAUAUCUCUCCCUUUUUCACCGAUCCAGAGGAGUAGGUAGCUGCACUUUCCCUCUUCUCCUUUGUCCCUCAGAGGACCCGUGAACAUCAGCUCCACAUGCUGUUUGAACUUACGCCAUGCAUCAGGGAAGCCAGAGUGAUCAGAUAAUCCAGUUGCCUGGUCAGGUGUUCAGCUCUGCCCUGCAGGACUGGGAGCUGUCCCAAGGGUGCACUGGGGAGCCUGAUUCCACCCCACCUCCAUACUGCAGGGGCUUCUUUGAUGCCAUCACCAUGGACCAAGAUUGUACCAACCUAGUAUUCUGUGGGAGGCUGUUCUGGACUGUGUCUCCCGCAGGCCAGGCCAGCUCCCCUCUACCUCUGCAGAACCGCUGGCCAGGACUACCCCUCACCAUUUAGGCAGCUGCUUACUCAAAGAUGGACAAUAAGUUAUACUUUUUCAAAGGCAGGCGAGUGUGGUGUUACUCCGGCAGCGAUGUGGACCCAGGCUUCCCCCUGAGGAGCAGCGAGCUAGGCCUCCCUGGACACCCUGACCAGGCCUUCACCUACCCCCACCUGGGCCACCUGGUGGUGUUUAAAGGCCAGCGUUACUUUGUGCUUAACUUUGGGACCCUGAGGCCCGACUCAUACUACCCCGCAGCCUGGAAGACAGAGGGCCAACGGAGCCCUCAACCACUCUGAUGGACAGGUAUACUUCUUCAAGGAGCAGCAGUACUGGAGCUUUGAUCCAGAGAAGGUGCAGGUGACUGGAGGGGGGAGGUGGGACACAAAGCUGGAAUGGACAGGCUGUCUUGGAACUCACCACAGAGGCAAUGAUAUACUGUGACCACAAGAUGGCGAUAACUAACUGAUUCAAGUUUUUGGUCAGGGUAAUGUGCAAUGGAUAUACUCAGACUAAGCAAUGACAGAAGUCAAGGGAUUUGUUUAUGUUCCCAUAUUUUUUAUGUUUAUACAGUAUUAUUAAAUUAAUAUUAAUAUUCCUACAUCCUACAGUGAUCCAAUGUUUUUGUUUGUAAUGUGCUUGUUUUGUUCUAGACCGUAUUAAGAUAUUCUGUAUGAGUCAUGGCCCAUCUGUGGGCUGUACAUUUUAUUAGGAUCUCUUUUAGUCCUCAUUUGGACUAAUCUUCCAAGAGUCCUUAAACAUUAAAAUACAAUUUAUAAUUUAUAAUACGACCACAUUUUCACAUAUUGACCGAUAAACAGUCUAAAAAUAUAUAUUGAUUCUUCAUCUACCAUAGUCCAGCACAACUUUCCUACGUAUUGUUUUAAAGUAUUGUUUGAAUUUAUAUAUUGAAAGGUUUCUGGUUUGCUCAGAUAAAUUAUUAAAUUUCUUUAUUGCUCUAAAUCGAAAUCAUUCUUUUGCCUAUUUCUCUUUUCUGCCUGGAUAACACAUGCAGUAGAAUGUGAAAAAUCUAUUCCUAGUAUUUACUGAAUGUCUGUCUCUUACCAACUUAAUAAUGCUGUGAAUAGAGUUUGGACGUUUUAAAUUGUGUAUAUUAUGAAAUAAAA
This is an RNA transcript of Salvelinus namaycush (lake trout), 4005 nucleotides long. It is a transcript of the gene named matrix metalloproteinase-28-like, with no coding region annotated. The record is from RefSeq and is a predicted model, not a curated record. Lineage: Eukaryota; Metazoa; Chordata; Actinopteri; Salmoniformes; Salmonidae. The transcript is spliced from 4 exons.